RNAcentral lists this ribosomal RNA (253 nucleotides) under uncultured bacterium. Its description in RNAcentral is "partial 16S ribosomal RNA". It matches the Rfam family "Bacterial small subunit ribosomal RNA", at positions 524 to 776 of the family's 1533-position model. The record is from RNAcentral.
UACGUAGGUGACAAGCGUUGUCCGGAUUUACUGGGCGUAAAGAGCGCGCAGGCGGUCGAUCAAGUCGAGUGUGAAAGCCCCCGGCUCAACUGGGGAGGGUCAUUCGAUACUGAUCGACUCGAAGGCAGGAGAGGGUAGUGGAAUUCCCGGUGUAGAGGUGAAAUUCGUAGAUAUCGGGAGGAACACCGGUGGCGAGGGCGGCGAUCUGGGUCGAUACUGACGCUGAGGUGCGAAAGCGUGGGGAGCAAACAGG